GCUUACGGCCACACCACCCUGAACACGCCCGAUCUCGUCCGAUCUUGGAAGCUAAGCAGGGCCGGGCCUGGUUAGUGCUUGGAUGGGAGACCCCCUGGGAAUACCAGGUGCUGUAAGUU
RNAcentral lists this ribosomal RNA (119 nucleotides) under Oryzias javanicus (javanese ricefish). Lineage: Eukaryota; Metazoa; Chordata; Actinopteri; Beloniformes; Adrianichthyidae. The record is from RNAcentral.